RNAcentral lists this ribosomal RNA (443 nucleotides) under uncultured bacterium. RNAcentral's name for it is "partial 16S ribosomal RNA". It matches the Rfam family "Bacterial small subunit ribosomal RNA", at positions 338 to 795 of the family's 1533-position model. The record is from RNAcentral.
CCUACGGGUGGCAGCAGUGGGGAAUAUUGCGCAAUGGGCGAAAGCCUGAUGCAGCAACGCCGCGUGAAGGAAGAAGGGUUUCGGCUCGUAAACUUCUAUCAACAGGGACGAAAGAAAUGACGGUACCGGACCAAGAAGCCCCGGCUAACUACGUGCCAGCAGCCGCGGCAAUACGUAGGGGGCAAGCGUUAUCCGGAUUUACUGGGUGUAAAGGGGGCGCAGACGGCAAUGCAAGCCAGGAGUGAAGGCCCGGGGCUCAACCCCGGGACUGCUGUUGGAACUGCAUGGCUGGAGUACAGGAGGGGCAGGCGGAAUUCCUAGUGUAGCGGUGAAAUGCGUAGAUAUUAGGAGGAACACCGGUGGCGAAGGCGGCCUGCUGGACUGUGACUGACGUUGAGGCCCGAAGGCGUGGGGAGCAAACAGGAUUAGAUACCCGAGUAGUC